Molecule: long non-coding RNA, 829 nt
Organism: Drosophila ficusphila
Lineage: Eukaryota; Metazoa; Arthropoda; Insecta; Diptera; Drosophilidae
Exons: 3
Source: RefSeq, a predicted model, not a curated record
GCAUGGACAGAAUAAUAUUUUUUUAUUACUCAGUCAAUUUUUGAAUUUUGUUUAAGUUCCUGAUAUUUUAAAUAUCAUAGUGAUAGAUUUAUAAAGCAUAUUGCAAACAAAUAUACAAUCAAUAUUUCGCUCUGAAACGCCAAAAAUAUCGAAAAUCGCUAGUUUCCCAGCUCCAAUAACAAAAAAAAACUACUUGGUGAAGAUAAUAUGGUGAUACAGUAAACAUGACAAAAUAAUUUAGAUUUCGUAUUUCCACUGCUAUAUGUGUUACGAACUGCUUCCUUCGCGGGCAGCGCCGCUAGCUCAGCGAUCUCAUUUGGGCCAAGUUCUCCCCAAUGCCCGCAGUCCGACAACAUAAAAUACAAACAUCGAUUACGGUCGUCUCACAAUACUAACUCUCUGCGACCACUAACAAAAUGUAAACAACCAAAAAAACGUAAACAUUCAAAUACAAGGCGGCGGAAAUUUGGAUCUUUGGUGGCCAUCGGUGUUCUUGGCCACUGCGUACCCACCCAACCUAGGAUGCCUGAUGAUCCUGAAAGAAGUUCUGCUGACAACGCGGAGGCACCUUUUCUCCGAGGGACUGCCGGAAAUGGCGUCGUAAUGGCCGACAUUUUGAUAUUUUUUUUUUUUGAAAAUUUCACAAAAUCUUUAUUAAAUAUGUAUCUUUUAAAUAAUAAAAAGUUUAAUUGAAAUAUUUCAUUUUUUAUAUGCAAAAAAAAUGUUUGAAAAAAGGCCGUUUUUUACCCGAGGAAACUCAUGUAACCCCUUUGUUUGGUCAUGCCGCAGCCUAAAUCCAAUCACUAAAUUAAAAUCCUAACGUAAUUCA